AGCAGCCGCGGUAAUUCCAGCUCCAAUAGCGUAUAUUAAAGUUGUUGCAGUUAAAAAGCUCGUAGUUGAAUUUCGGGAUCAAUAUGCUGGUCGUGCCAUUGGUACGUACUAGUAUUAUUGGUUUCUCCUUUCUGAUGAAUCAUGAUGUCAUUAAUUUGAUGUCAUGAGGAAUCAGGACUGUUACUUUGAAAAAAUUAGAGUGUUUAAAGCAGGCUCGCGCUUGAAUACAUUAGCAUGGAAUAAUGAAAUAGGAUGUUUGAUUCUAUUUUGUUGGUUUCUAGGAUUGACGUAAUGAUUAAUAGGGAUAGUUGGGGGCAUUAGUAUUCAAUUGUCAGAGGUGAAAUUCUUGGAUUUAUUGAAGACUAACUACUGCGAAAGCAUUUGCCAAGGAUGUUUUCAUUAAUCAAGGAACGAAAGUUAGGGGAUCGAAGACGAUCAGAUACCGUCGUAGUCUUAACCAUAAACUAUGCCGACUAGGGAUCGGAUGAUGUUAAUUUUUUAAUGACUCAUUCGGCGCCUU
RNAcentral lists this unclassified non-coding RNA (520 nucleotides) under uncultured Glomus. Its description in RNAcentral is "SSU rRNA". It matches the Rfam family "Eukaryotic small subunit ribosomal RNA", at positions 569 to 1089 of the family's 1831-position model. The record is from RNAcentral. Lineage: Eukaryota; Fungi; Glomeromycota; Glomeromycetes; Glomerales; Glomeraceae.